Molecule: ribosomal RNA, 465 nt
Filed under: uncultured bacterium
Lineage: Bacteria
Description: partial 16S ribosomal RNA
Rfam family: Bacterial small subunit ribosomal RNA
Source: RNAcentral
GACGAACGCUGGCGGCGUGCUUAACACAUGCAAGUCGAACGGAAAGGCCCCUUCGGGGGUACUCGAGUGGCGAACAGGUGAGUAACACGUGAGUAACCUGCCCUUGACUUCGGGAUAACUUCAGGAAACUGGGGCUAAUACCGGAUAGGAAUCCUUGCUGCAUGGUGGGGGUUGGAAAGCUUCGGCGGUUUUGGAUGGACUCGCGGCUUAUCAGCUUGUUGGUGGGGUAGUGGCUUACCAAGGCUUUGACGGGUAGCCGGCCUGAGAGGGCGACCGGCCACAUUGGGACUGAGAUACGGUCCAGACUCCUACGGGAGGCAGCAGUGGGGAAUAUUGCACAAUGGGCGGAAGCCUGAUGCAGCAACGCCGCGUGCGGGAUGACGGCCUUCGGGUUGUAAACCGCUUUCAGCAGGGGCGAAGCUUGUGGUGACGGUACCUGCAGAAGAAGCACCGGCUAACUACGUG